UAAUAAGUGUUUAUGGCACUUCUUAAAUCCAUAUCCACCUUGUGUGCAAUGUCAGCCGUUUUCUUUAUGAAAGCGGUCAAACAUCAACUUAUUUUUUAACUGUCUGUCUGAAAACUAUUAUGAAUAAACAAUUCAAAUA
This 139-nucleotide unclassified non-coding RNA is filed under the name soil metagenome. RNAcentral's name for it is "partial internal transcribed spacer 1". The record is from RNAcentral.